GACGAACGCUGGCGGCGUGCCUAAUACAUGCAAGUAGAACGCUGAAGGAGGAGCUUGCUUCUCUGGAUGAGUUGCGAACGGGUGAGUAACGCGUAGGUAACCUGCCUGGUAGCGGGGGAUAACUAUUGGAAACGAUAGCUAAUACCGCAUAAGAGUAGAUGUUGCAUGACAUUUGCUUAAAAGGUGCAAUUGCAUCACUACCAGAUGGACCUGCGUUGUAUUAGCUAGUUGGUGAGGUAACGGCUCACCAAGGCAACGAUACAUAGCCGACCUGAGAGGGGGAUCGGCCACACUGGGACUGAGACACGGCCCAGACUCCUACGGGAGGCAGCAGUAGGGAAUCUUCGGCAAUGGACGGAAGUCUGACCGAGCAACGCCGCGUGAGUGAAGAAGGUUUUCGGAUCGUAAAGCUCUGUUGUAAGAGAAGAACGAGUGUGAGAGUGGAAAGUUCACACUGUGACGGUAUCUUACCAGAAAGGGACGGCUAACUACGUG
Molecule: ribosomal RNA, 495 nt
Filed under: uncultured bacterium
Lineage: Bacteria
Description: partial 16S ribosomal RNA
Rfam family: Bacterial small subunit ribosomal RNA
Source: RNAcentral